CUCCCGAGUAUCUGGGACUACUGGUGCACGCCACUAUGCCCAGCUAAUUUUUUAUUAUUAUUAUUUUUAGUAGAGACAGGGUUUCACCAUGUUGGCCAGGCUGAUCUCAAACUCCUGACCUCAGGUGAUCCACCCUCCUUGGCCUCCGAAAGUGUUGGGAUUACAGGUGGGAGCCACCGCCUCCAGUCGUUACUUGGACAAUUUCUAAUAAAAUCACAAAUCCACAUACCUAUCGGACUAGAAAUCUCAUUUUGAGGAUCUAUUCUACAGAUAGAAAACAAGCAGUGUUUAGAUGCAAAACAAACAAUGAUUUUAAUGGCAAAAGGAGGUAAAAUUGUCAAAGGGAAAUUUUCCACUUACACUUGCCCCAGAAGAUGACAACAUAAAAUUAGAUAUUUCAUUCCAACUGAUUGAGAAAGAACCAUGAAAUUGAGUGACCCUAAGAAGACAGACCUAACAGAACUACUGGAAGAUCUUUGCUGACCAGUGAACAAUGGAAGAGACACAUGGACUCAUUCAACCCUUAAUUAGCAUCCUAGCCUGAACUCUCCCUUUCCUAGCACUCAAACCCUCCUAACUUUUCCCCUCUGCAAAGUUCUCAGUGGAUGUAUUCACUGACGUGUACUCCUUGCCAGGCACUUUAAUAAACGUUUUAUUUUUUUCAAUGCUCUUGUGGUUUUUGUCUUAUUAUUUGGCCAGAAAAAUUAAACCACAUGAGUUAUGAUUUGGACAUGCUAAAUUGUAUUGCCCACAGGAUGUGUCCUGGAAUGAGGCCAGCAGGCAGUUUCAGGUCUGUACCCAAAGCUUGGCUUAGGUGUUUGGGAAGAAGUAGAUCAAGAAGCCACCAGCAAAGAGGUGUUAGUUGAAGCCAAAGAUAG
Molecule: long non-coding RNA, 878 nt
Filed under: Homo sapiens (human)
Lineage: Eukaryota; Metazoa; Chordata; Mammalia; Primates; Hominidae
Description: HSALNT0034387
Source: RNAcentral